GACCAAGGUUCGACUCGAGCGAAGCGAGAGAACGUUGCCGCAGGCGACGGCCCGAAGGGCGAGGCGCUUUAGCCCCGAGUA
RNAcentral lists this small RNA (81 nucleotides) under Klebsiella pneumoniae. RNAcentral's name for it is "RtT RNA". It matches the Rfam family "RtT RNA", at positions 34 to 112 of the family's 130-position model. From Rfam's summary of the family: This family represents a bacterial cis-regulatory element known as RtT RNA. The exact function of RtT is unknown although it is thought that it may be involved in changing the cellular response in relation to amino acid starvation. The record is from RNAcentral. Lineage: Bacteria; Pseudomonadati; Pseudomonadota; Gammaproteobacteria; Enterobacterales; Enterobacteriaceae.